This 342-nucleotide unclassified non-coding RNA is filed under the name soil metagenome. RNAcentral describes it as "partial contains 5.8S ribosomal RNA, internal transcribed spacer 2, and large subunit ribosomal RNA". The stretch from base 1 to 119 matches the Rfam family "5.8S ribosomal RNA", at positions 35 to 154 of the family's 154-position model. The record is from RNAcentral.
GAUGAAAACGUAGCGAAAUGCGAUAAGUAAUGUGAAUUGCAGAAUUCAGUGAAUCAUCGAAUCUUUGAACGCACAUUGCGCCCGCUAGUAUUCUGGCGGGCAUGCCUGUCCGAGCGUCAUUUCAACCCUCAAGCCCCCGGGCUUGGUGUUGGGGAUCGGCGAGCCUCCGCGCCCGCCGUCCCCUAAAUCUAGUGGCGGUCUCGCUGUAGCUUCCUCUGCGUAGUAGCACACCUCGCACUGGGAAACAGCGCGGCCACGCCGUUAAACCCCCAACUUCUGAACGUUUGACCUCGGAUCAGGUAGGAAUACCCGCUGAACUUAAGCAUAUCAAUAAGCGGAGGA